This 588-nucleotide long non-coding RNA is filed under the name Struthio camelus australis. Its description in RNAcentral is "lncRNA (ENSSCUG00000008788.1)". The record is from RNAcentral. Lineage: Eukaryota; Metazoa; Chordata; Aves; Struthioniformes; Struthionidae.
UCCUGUGGAAGCAAGGAGAUGAAAAGAAGCCUUUUUUUUCUUUUCCCUUUUUUUUCUCCUCUCUCCUCUAGAAUGGAAAUACUGUUAAAACAUUGAGCGGAUUCAGUGCUUUAAGAAAAGUAUCAACUAUUGCAUCCUGCUGUACGGUUGCGAGUACAGUGCACAUUCUGCAGUGUUGUGAAGUGUUUCUGAAGUCCUGACUUUUCAAUGUUGGUAUGAUGAGUUGCUGAAAGUUUGAAUGUCGGAGUCGAAGCAGGAACGGUAGCUGUCCUACACCAGAUCCUGAAGAUUAACAUUUAUCAUGUUGAGAUUUGGGCAGCACCUCAUCAAGCCCUCGGUGGUAUUCCUGAGGACGGAGCUCUCCUUUGCCCUUGUGAACCGGAAGCCAGUGGUCCCAGGGCGUAUCCUUUCAACCAGAGCCUCAGUCAGGAGUGCGUAUGGGCCGCUCAGCGUUCUGUGGAAAAGAGGGAGGCACUCUUUGCGUUCUGAAGGCCAGAUGACUCUGUGUGAAGGAAAACUAUGCAAUAUUAUAAAGUACUAUUCUUUGAAUAGAGAGAAUUUGAAGAUGACAACUGUUUGGUAUCAUCC